Long non-coding RNA from Rosa chinensis, 1219 nucleotides. RefSeq lists it as uncharacterized. Lineage: Eukaryota; Viridiplantae; Streptophyta; Magnoliopsida; Rosales; Rosaceae. The transcript is spliced from 5 exons. The record is from RefSeq and is a predicted model, not a curated record.
AGAGAGAGAGAGAGACGGUGAUCGAGGUAGACACACAGCAAUCGAGGGUUGGGUUUGUUUUGGAAGAUGUUCCGUUUCACCUGUAUAGGUUAGUUUGCACCAAGACUUGGAACCCACCGCUUCCUCUUCUCUUAGUUUGCAAAAUAGUGCGGAUGACAACCAUUUCUUUUAACUGAAGUAGGACUUGGCUACAUUGGUAACCAAACCUCAAUUUGGAGACACUGCUUACCAAGAAAGAUUGGGGUUAAACAUGAAGUCUGUUUAUCUUUUAAUGUAACAUUAAAUCUUUAUUUAUUGGGUUUAACCUAGCUGUGAAAAUAACAUUUGGCUUUUUUCCUACUGCUGAACUUGUAAUAUAUAAGACCUCUGCUUAAUUAAGAUGGCAGAAAAGAAUGCAGCAGAUGAUUUUAAUUGAGGAAGCUGAGAAUAAGUAGGACGACGACAUGUGGACAUCAGUGAACAACCAAAGAAAUAAGCUUUUCCAGAGAUGGAUGUCCAAGGAUGCUAUUGAUUUAUUUUGAUUGAGGUGAGAGGGAAUACAGAAGACAAUUAUCUCAGUUCUUGAUAGUGCUCAUGGCCUCUGUAAGUGUGGUUCCUUCAUCUGGAUUAGGAGACGGCAGUGGAAAUACGGUUGCCCAGUGAGAUGAAUAACAUGAAAAUUAGGGAUGACGUACAAGAUAAACAAUACCCACUUAUUAUUGGCUCAAUCUUUGAUCCUGCUGUGGACUUUUCAAAAGGAGUAUUCUUCUUUUCUUAUCAGUUAUGACUUAAGGAGUUGGUCUCUGGUCUUGGUGGCUGAAAUUUUUUUUGUUACAAUGUAGGCAUUGAGGAGUUGACCUGGCUUAUAUGCUCAUUGGUAUUGAAAAGAGACACCUACCUGAAGCAUGGCCGGAAGCAAAAUUGAGCUGUGAAAAUCUUAAUCAAAGAUUAUGUAGUGAACCUUGAACGGCAGGAGACGUGAUGAUUUAGAAUGUUGAUGAGGAAAUACACACGUAACUGUUGAUGGCGAAGCUUCUAUCCCAAAAUUCCAUUUUUGCAAUAUGUAAAUAUUUGUACUUAAAUACCAGCUUUUGUAAUAUGUAAAGUUAUGACGUUCACCGAUAUCCGUUUCUUAGCUUAUGGUUCUGAUUGUUAUACAUACAAGAAAUUGAGGAAGAAAAAAAAAUUGCAAUUGCGCAGGGCGUAUAUCCAGUGGAAUCUAUAUCAAAGUAUUGUGACA